GGGGAAUUAGCUCAGCUGGCUAGAGCGCUACGCUUGCACCGUAGAGGUCAUCGGUUCGACUCCGAUAUUCUCCACCA
This 77-nucleotide transfer RNA is filed under the name Aequorivita ciconiae. RNAcentral's name for it is "Aequorivita sp. H23M31 tRNA-Ala". It matches the Rfam family "tRNA". Rfam says of the family: Transfer RNA (tRNA) molecules are approximately 80 nucleotides in length. Their secondary structure includes four short double-helical elements and three loops (D, anti-codon, and T loops). Lineage: Bacteria; Pseudomonadati; Bacteroidota; Flavobacteriia; Flavobacteriales; Flavobacteriaceae. The record is from RNAcentral.